This 119-nucleotide ribosomal RNA is filed under the name Kryptolebias marmoratus (mangrove rivulus). The record is from RNAcentral. Lineage: Eukaryota; Metazoa; Chordata; Actinopteri; Cyprinodontiformes; Rivulidae.
GCUUACGGCCACACCACCCUGAACACGCCUGAUCUCGUUCGAUCUCGGAAGCUAAGCAGGGUCGGGCCUGGUCAGUACUUGGAUGGGAGACCGCCUGGGAAUAGCAGGUGCUGUAAGCC